AUCAGUUACUGUCAAUGAAAUAAUUUAUUUAUCACUAAUGUAAUUGACAAUUGUCUUAAGAAACGGAAUUAUUAGCUGUAUCACUUGUGGUAUCCAAUAAUGUAUAUACCAACUGCCUUUCCUUUUCAACUUCUUAAUAUUACAUUAUAAGUAACUGCCUUCUUCCUUUAUUUUAGACCUGACAACAAUAUUAAUUGCAGCUUGUUCUGCUAUUGCAGCAGUUAUUUUCAUUAUUGGAGUAGCUGUUUACUGUGUCAGAAAAAAAGACACUUCUGGUUUGGCCAGUCCAGAGGCAAAUGUGGAUGUGUACCAGCCAUUUCAAGGCCCUAUGGGUGAACCUCCUCCUGUUCCACCACUUAAUCGUAUCAACAAAGAUAAAGAGUUGAAUAUUGAAUUGAAUAUACCAGGGACACAUUCUGCACCUCCCAACUAGCAGGGUGAAAGCAGGUUUUUUACAUGUAUGAUUUGGUAGCAGGAUCAUACACAUUUAUUACACUUCAACUGUUACUUCGCUAUGUUGCUUGGAUAUUUUUGUUGUCAUUUGAGGCUUACAAACUAAUAUGGACUUUGGACUCUUCAUCAGUGAAGGAGCUCGUUAUAUACCCCCCUUUGCUAAAGGGUACCCCCUCCACUGAUGAGAAUAGAUACUACACUUGAUCUUGGCCAAAAGGCAGAGAAGCAAUAGAAAUCGGUACACCCAAAAGAUCCAACACCUAAGCACAUGAAAAUGAAUGUGGUCUAUACUGUCCAUUGUAGUGAAGAGUGCUCAGAUAUAUACAUUGGGGAGACAAAAACAACCAUUCAGUAAGAGAAUGGCCCAACAUAGGACGGCAAACUCCCCAGGACAAUACUCCGCAGUCGAUCCAUAUCUAAAGUAAAAGGGACACUCCUUAGAGGACAAAUUUUAGACCAAGAUGGUUUGAAAGAUAUAUGAAGGAGGGAGGCCAUUUAUGCCAAAGUGGAAAAACCAUCCCUGAACAGAGGAAGGGGCCUGAGACAAUGCUUGUCAUCAACAUACAAUGUCGCUUUAACAUCCUUACCCAGCGGUUUCAUAACAAUUCACGCUUCCAGUCAUGUACAUUGAAAAAUUAACACCUGAUCAACGUACCAUUGUGACUGGAUCACACUUUCACACAUCUGUGAGUUUCAGCCAACACCAUCUAAAUAAAGUUCAAUGGAAGCAUUGUGA
Long non-coding RNA from Xenopus laevis (African clawed frog), 1189 nucleotides. RefSeq lists it as uncharacterized. The transcript is spliced from 3 exons. The record is from RefSeq and is a predicted model, not a curated record. Lineage: Eukaryota; Metazoa; Chordata; Amphibia; Anura; Pipidae.